RNAcentral lists this unclassified non-coding RNA (946 nucleotides) under Hevea brasiliensis (rubber tree). The record is from RNAcentral. Lineage: Eukaryota; Viridiplantae; Streptophyta; Magnoliopsida; Malpighiales; Euphorbiaceae.
CGCCGAUACGAUCCCAAUUUGCAAAUGCUCCAUCUGAUCCAAAGCUAAGGUCCUUAAUGCUCCUUGUUGAUUUUAUGGGACCAGGUGUUCCUUUUAAGCAUGGUGAUCUUUGUGAGAAGCCAGGAACACUUCCCAUUCUACUUGUGACCGUGGCAUCGCUGUUGAUAGAAGAUAUGGGAGAUAGUUUGUACUUGUAGGGAGAAUUGAUCUCAGAGUAGACAUCAGUAUUGAUUGGUCUUAGCCUUGGUGAACUCAUUGAUCUUGCUUUUGCUUUUGCAGAUUCCGUGGCUGCCAUGUAAGUUGGAAUUGAAGGAGAUCCCAUGAAAGUAUUGUCAUGAUCCCCAGUUGAUUUCUGUCUUCUGUGGUGAAAUGAUCUUCUUGGAACAUAUACUGGCGAAACCAAUUCUUGAUCUGUAUGGUAUUGUCUUAGAGAAGGCUUUGGCUUCAUUUCUUUUCUCUCGAAUUCUUCUCUGUUUCUUGCUGAGAAAAGCGUGUCCACGUUUUUAAGGUCAUCUCUUUUAGCCAGCUGAGCAUCUACCCAUUGUUCUAACCAGUAUCGCCUUCUUCCAUUUAUGUCUGAUUCUGUUGAUCUUCGAUGGCUUAACCAGUAUUCUCUUAUACGUUCUCUCUUGAUCGCAGCCUCCCUUUUGCUUGAGAACAUCUUGUUUGCUUCUUCCUUAGAUAAAUAUCGAUUGUCCCACCUUUUCUGGCUGUUUAGAUCAAUCUUGAUAUCUUUCUCUCCGAGAUCCAUCAACGUUUUCUCUUGACAAUGUACUGUGCUUUUCACCUGAUUAUCACAUCUCUUUGCACAUACUUCAGAUUGAAUGUUUACAAUUGACUGCAAGGACCUAAGUGUAGCAAUAGCCUGACGUCGAACAGCCCUACCACGAACAAUAGCUUGAAGCCUCACUAGUCCCUUUAGUGCUCUCAAAGCUUUCCUUGCAAG